RNAcentral lists this ribosomal RNA (495 nucleotides) under uncultured bacterium. RNAcentral's name for it is "partial 16S ribosomal RNA". It matches the Rfam family "Bacterial small subunit ribosomal RNA", at positions 28 to 507 of the family's 1533-position model. The record is from RNAcentral.
GACGAACGCUGGCGGCGUGCCUAAUACAUGCAAGUAGAACGCUGAAGGAGGAGCUUGCUUCUCUGGAUGAGUUGCGAACGGGUGAGUAACGCGUAGGUAACCUGCCUGGUAGCGGGGGAUAACUAUUGGAAACGAUAGCUAGUACCGCAUAAGAGUAGAUGUUGCAUGACAUUUGCUUAAAAGGUGCAAUUGCAUCACUACCAGAUGGACCUGCGUUGUAUUAGCUAGUUGGUGGGGUAACGGCUCACCAAGGCGACGAUACAUAGCCGACCUGAGAGGGGGAUCGGCCACACUGGGACUGGGACACGGCCCAGACUCCUGCGGGGGGCAGCAGUAGGGGAUCUUCGGCAAUGGACGGAAGUCUGACCGAGCAACGCCGCGUGAGUGAAGAAGGUUUUCGGAUCGUAAAGCUCUGUUGUAAGAGAAGAACGAGUGUGAGAGUGGAAAGUUCACACUGUGACGGUAUCUUACCAGAAAGGGACGGCUAACUACGUG